AUUGAACGCUGGCGGCAUGCCUAACACAUGCAAGUCGAACGGCAGCACGGGGCAACCUGGUGGCGAGUGGCGAACGGGUGAGUAAUGCAUCGGAACGUACCUUUCAGUGGGGGAUAACGUAGCGAAAGUUACGCUAAUACCGCAUAUUCUGUGAGCAGGAAAGCAGGGGAUCGCAAGACCUUGCGCUGAUUGAGCGGCCGAUGUCAGAUUAGCUAGUUGGUGAGGUAAAGGCUCACCAAGGCGACGAUCUGUAGCGGGUCUGAGAGGAUGAUCCGCCACACUGGAACUGCGCCACGGUCCAGACUCCUACGGGAGGCAGCAGUGGGGAAUUUUGGACAAUGGGGGCAACCCUGAUCCAGCCAUGCCGCGUGAGUGAAGAAGGCCUUCGGGUUGUAAAGCUCUUUCGGCCGGGAAGAAAUCGCACGGGCUAAUACCCUGUGUGGAUGACGGUACCGGAAUAAGAAGCACCGGCUAACUACGUGCCAGCCGCCGCCGUAA
Molecule: ribosomal RNA, 498 nt
Filed under: uncultured bacterium
Lineage: Bacteria
Description: partial 16S ribosomal RNA
Rfam family: Bacterial small subunit ribosomal RNA
Source: RNAcentral